Molecule: long non-coding RNA, 255 nt
Filed under: Lathyrus oleraceus (garden pea)
Lineage: Eukaryota; Viridiplantae; Streptophyta; Magnoliopsida; Fabales; Fabaceae
Description: Pisum sativum (pea) long non-coding RNA (PSAT_LNC007343)
Source: RNAcentral
GUAUCAUCUAGGAUGGAGACACUAUCAAUGUAGGGGGGGGCUCAUGCGCCUUCAUUACCUUUUCAAGAAAAAUUAUAGUAUGAAAUAUAUGUACCCCACAUCCAUCCAACAAAACACGUAUAAAUUGUGCUUAAUUAAUAAAGGAUGACAAAGAAUGGAGAAAAAAAGAAAUCCAACAAAAACACGUACAAAUUGUACUUAAUAAAUAAAGGAAAACAAAGAAUGAAGAAAAAAAAAGAAAAGGAGAGGAUUCAA